CCUACGGGAGGCAGCAGUGGGGAAUAUUGGACAAUGGGCGAAAGCCUGAUCCAGCAAUGCCGCGUGAGUGAUGAAGGCCUUAGGGUCGUAAAGCUCUUUUACCAGGGAUGAUAAUGACAGUACCUGGAGAAUAAGCUCCGGCUAACUCCGUGCCAGCAGCCGCGGUAAUACGGAGGGAGCUAGCGUUGUUCGGAAUUACUGGGCGUAAAGCGUACGUAGGCGGUUAUUCAAGUCAGAGGUGAAAGCCCGGGGCUCAACCCCGGAACGGCCUUUGAAACUAGAUAGCUAGAGUCUUGGAGAGGUCAGUGGAAUUCCGAGUGUAGAGGUGAAAUUCGUAGAUAUUCGGAAGAACACCAGUGGCGAAGGCGACUGACUGGACAAGUACUGACGCUGAGGUACGAAAGCGUGGGGAGCAAACAGGAUUAGAUACCCUGGUAGUCCACGCCGUAAACGAUGAUAACUAGCUGUCCGGGUACUUGGUAUCUGGGUGGCGCAGCUAACGCAUUAAGUUAUCCGCCUGGGGAGUACGGGUCGCAAGAUUAAAACUUAAAGGAAAUUGACGG
RNAcentral lists this ribosomal RNA (563 nucleotides) under uncultured bacterium. Its description in RNAcentral is "bacterial SSU rRNA". It matches the Rfam family "Bacterial small subunit ribosomal RNA", at positions 338 to 916 of the family's 1533-position model. The record is from RNAcentral.